Molecule: non-coding RNA, 1492 nt
Organism: Pogona vitticeps (central bearded dragon)
Lineage: Eukaryota; Metazoa; Chordata; Lepidosauria; Squamata; Agamidae
Source: RefSeq, a predicted model, not a curated record
UAUCUAUCUAUCUAUCUAUCUAUCUAUCUAUCUAUCUAUCUAUCUAUCUAUCUAUCUAUCAUUUUAACUGAUAUAUCUAUGGCAGAAACUGAAGUAGGAAAGGGGCAUCAUCAUAUGUAAUUUGGGGGUGGGGAUGAGUGGGGAACUAUUAUAUGAUGGUGGGAAACCAAACAUAGCCUGCUUGAGUAGAUGAAUUGACACUUUAAAAAUUGUGGUUUUAGGAAUCAGUUGUAGGCUACAAAAUCACUUGGGAGGAUAAAAAGAUGAUUCCUUGACAACUGUAUAUAUUUGUUUUACAUGUUUCAUGUGCCGCAUGUAACAUGGACUUGAAAAGUCUUGGAACUAUUAAACUUUUUUCCUCUAACGAGCAACAAAGGUUUUAGAAGAGUGGUAUCAAGCCUAGCAGAUGAUGUCAUUCACUUCUUUAAUUCAAAAUACCCUUCACCUGAACAUACCUAUCUAUAUUUCGUCUGAAUACAUUCAGGAAAGUGGCUAGUGUUUCUAGCUGCCUUCUUCUGCUCAUCUCUUUGUACCUUAACACAUGAUCAUAAUUAGUCAUUUCUAUUCAUUGUAACUACUAAAGACAGAUAUUUAAGCUAUAGGUUUUGCAGAAAAUACCGUGCAUUUUAACACUCAAUGGGAAUUUUCUCUUAUCCUUAAGAAAAGAUCGAGCUUUUUAUUCUGAGAAGACAGAGAAAGGAAAAGAGAGCAGGGGAUUUACUGAAAGCAAGGAGAUGAGUCACCUUCAUGGCUUAUAAAAGGUCCCAGGAUGGUAUGGGGUUGACCUUCUUUGCCUAAGUUCUGUUACAAGACUGCAGGGAAUAGAACCAGGGCAAUGGGCAUGUUCCAAUGCCUUCUAGGUGGCUGUUAGAACAUAUUUUCUUUGUAUUUGUGAGCUUUCAUUCUUUUUCUUUCUUUUGAGAGAGAGAGAGAGAAAGGAAACCUACACCCUGAGUGUUUUUCGGUUUGCAAGAAGGUGGAACAAAAGAAAGUCUGCAGCCACUCUUACAUCUGUGUGGAAACUGCCUCCAACAACAGAAGCUAAUCAGCAGUCUGCACCAGUGCCACAGCAUCGAAGUGGAGGACUGUGGGACUGUGAUGAUGGAUGUGGUGGGUUCAUCUUCGGGAUGCCAGGGAAUGCAGAGCGGCACAGAACUAAAUCCAGGUUUUGAAAAGGUGGUGCAAGACACGCCUCAAGCAGAAACAUCAGACAUGAAGCUCAUUUCUAGGGACAUCAUCUGAAACGCACAACUCAGUUUGCCAAUCCAGUAUGGCUCAUGUAAUGCAUACUACACUAUGGCCCUCUUCUUGCUUGAGCAAAAAGGACUGGAAACUUCUACACAGAAAUGGAGAUAAAACCCAGCCGGUGACUGAUCAAUGUCAGGAGUGCACAAAUAUUCUAAUAUGGGCUCCAUCAGAUAUUGUCAGGUUGCCCAGGGCACAAACAGAUGGAAAUGAUUGAAUAAAUAAAUAAUAAAUACUCCAAAUAGGU